RNAcentral lists this unclassified non-coding RNA (138 nucleotides) under soil metagenome. RNAcentral describes it as "partial internal transcribed spacer 1". The record is from RNAcentral.
CCUAGAGUUGUAGGCUUUGCCUGCUAUCUCUUACCUAUGUCUUUUGAGUACCUUACGUUUCCUCGGCGGGUCCGCCCGCCGAUUGGACAAUUUAAACCAUUUGCAGUUGCAAUCAGCGUCUGAAAAACUUAAUAGUUA